CAUCUGUUAAUCGAGAGGUGAGAUUGGAUGG
RNAcentral lists this non-coding RNA (31 nucleotides) under Homo sapiens (human). Lineage: Eukaryota; Metazoa; Chordata; Mammalia; Primates; Hominidae. The record is from RNAcentral.